RNAcentral lists this unclassified non-coding RNA (2711 nucleotides) under Hevea brasiliensis (rubber tree). Lineage: Eukaryota; Viridiplantae; Streptophyta; Magnoliopsida; Malpighiales; Euphorbiaceae. The record is from RNAcentral.
GGGCUUUCUUCCCAGCAAAUUUGGACACAACUAGUGCUCAUAAAAUAAUGGGAUAGUGAAUUUGUGAUUCACUAAUCAAUACUGAGGUGUAUUCUCAUUCCUAUGUUCCUAUUAAAUAUAGGUAGGUACAUGCAUUUUUAUUGUUUAAGGAGAACAAAAAUACAAGAUGCACCUUUGACAGAUGCAGAAUGAAGAAAAAAAAAAUGUAGAUAGGAAUUGCUUGCACCAAUUCUUGGAAAUCUACAUCCUCUCAAAGAAGACACGAUCUUCAGAUUCGUUAACAACUUGUACCUGUAACACACCACAAAGAUGAUGUGUUUGCAAAGAAUAUUUGCUCGUGUGCAGCAAUCGUGGUCAGCUUUUCCAUUACUUACCUACCUUGGCAUGUUUUGACGCAAGAUCCUUACGGAGCCAGAAAUUGACCAGAAAAGAGUCCAUGAUGAUCUGAUUCAAAUGUGCUGCAACACAUGGAAGAACCAGCAAACCAGAUUCGCCAAAUGCACCUCCGAGCUGUUCUACUACUGCAACCAUUACUGGAAGAGUUUUCUGGCUUGAAACAAGCACAAAAGCGUUGGCAUUUUCUUUUUUGGAAAAAACUGAUUGGUUGCCACCAGAUGCGGUUGAGAGGCCUUGUAUAGCAAGAGCAUUAAAAGCAAAUAGGAUGACAUGCAGAAAUCUGCAAUCCAUGGAGAUGUUCCUUUUGUCAGAUGAUGCUAUUACAUUGAAGCACAUAAUUAUGUAGGAAAUGUAGAUUGAAAAUGAACAGCAGAUCAUAUAUUUUGCCAAUUUAUGUUUUCAACCUGAACUUUGGACAUGACAUCCAUUUACAGUUGAAAAAUGCUAAUAAAUUGUAACCUAAAUGACAUAGGAAUUCAGAAUAUAUCGAUCCUCUCCUGCCCCUCCCCUUGCCUCCAUUCCAUAAAUCCCCUGCUUCUUUCUCCCCAUGGUGGCUGACUGCAAGUACAAUGGAUAGCUGUUACCAAUAUUAACCUUUAUUCAGGUGGUUCAGGUGUGAGGCUUGGAUAGGUCCUAAACUUCAAAACUUGCAGCUGUGUUUGCUUUCAAAAGUGAAAUCCAUGAAUUAGAAAUUGACAAUUAGAAACUCCAACCAUAACAUCAGAUAUUGGCCCCCAAGGGAAAAGAACCAACUUACCAAGGCUGCCAAAAACUCCACACAACUCUAGACCACUUAAAGGUUUCCAAAAGGACAAGUCCAAGGGGUUUGAAGUUUUAAACUCCUGAAUGCCAUUUCAAAUGCGUACACAAUGGAGCAGAUAUUGAACAACUGGUUGUUAGGGUUUUGGAUCCCUAGCAAGAAAAACUGGUCUACUUCUCAAUGAAUAGAAGAAAUUAAUAUUCACAGCAAAUUAAGAAUGCUAUUCAGCAAUAACUGAAGGAAAAUAAAAUAUUAAAAGCUUCUCAACUAAUAACAGACGAGUAUAAAGGAAUUAAGGCUGUUAACAUACACUCCCAUCCCAAUAGCUACAAGGAAAACUUCAGGCUUGACCAGUAGGAGCAGCGAGCUUGAUCUGCUUACUUGUAUCCAGGGAGCUAAACUAAGACAGAUUGCACUCAUCUUUGAAAAAAGUUUACGCUUUUGAUCAACAAAGGCCGCCAAACCUUUGAAGGAUUCUCGAAAAACCUUUCCCAUCAGAAGAGGGAUUAGAAGCGUUAGCACAAGACUUCUUAACAGUUGUUUAGUUGGAACAGAUACACCAACUCCAGCAGCUAUGAAUCUGGUGAUAGAAAAGGGAAUCUGAAAGUGAAAUAAAUAAAACUUGAGUUUAGCAAGAUAAAUGAGGGAAAUUAAUCUGGUAUAAAAAUAAAUAAAUAAAUGUUACACAGAGACAAAUUGACAUAGAAUACAUCCCUGAGAGCCAGAGAAUGUGAAAGAGUUGGUGCAAGGUAACCAAUUUGCCUCUGCUGAAUCAUUCAAAUUUAUCGGCAAACCACAACUUUUAAACAAUCAAAAUUCCUAAAAGAUUAGAUAUCACUGUCAUUGCUAGAGCAAGUGCAGAAUUUCCUCCAGCAAGCUGAGUUAGUGCCACUCCACUUGAUAAUGUAGUUGGCAUGCAGCAAAACAAAGCCAGUCCUGUUACAAAUUCCUGAGGCUGGAGCUGGAUUUGCAAAAUUAUCCUUGAAAAGUAUGGUGUAAAAAAAAGAAUGGAGCAAAAACGUAUAAUGGCACAAAGAAAUUCAAGGUCAUACAAGCCCUAAAACUCCCACUGGCCAAGCUUCUACAGCAGCACCAAUUUCCCCAUUUCGCAAUGUCAAACCUGAGAUGAAAAAUAUUCCAAAUGUGCUAACUUUUGAUAGAUAAUAUUUAUCGGCAAGACAACCCAGAGUAGGAUUUGCAAGUCCUAACACUACUCCACCAAUAAGAGCCAACGGAAGAAAAUUCCUGUCCACAAAAUUCAACAACUUUUUCCCCAAAACCAGAACUUUCCAUGAAUCCGAAACUUUAGCAGCUUCACUUCCACUACUAUCUACCCGAUCAGGGCGUUCGCAGGCUCUGAUUUUAAUAGGAAUCGAAAUCGAUCGACUUCGAGUGGAAGAGACAGAGAAGGUGAAGUAUGGGUUGCAAAUUGGCCGGAAAUUCGGAUGCAAGCGGCAGGACGACCGCGUUUGAGGCGAGGGAGGUGUGAGAAUUAGGGUUUGAAUGAUUCCCGCCAUUGAGAGCAUACUGAAAACACAGUCACAGCACAGUAAGC